GUCUAAUGCAGAAACGAAGGCGUCACAAAGAAGCUACUGGCCUUGCUUCCUGCUUCAGUGAGGAAAAUGAAGCAGCCUGAAGAGGACUUGGAAAGUCUCUCUUCGCUCACACCUAACAAAGUACCUAUAUCUACAUCCACAUACUCUGCUUUUCCAGAUAAUAAAGAGUAGAAGGAAACAGUUUCCAAAUACAUUUAGCUGUUUUAACAUUGAAAACAACCACUUAUUAUUGAAUUUUU
This is a long non-coding RNA of Lutra lutra (Eurasian river otter), 239 nucleotides long. RefSeq lists it as uncharacterized. The record is from RefSeq and is a predicted model, not a curated record. The transcript is spliced from 3 exons. Lineage: Eukaryota; Metazoa; Chordata; Mammalia; Carnivora; Mustelidae.